This 467-nucleotide ribosomal RNA is filed under the name uncultured bacterium. Its description in RNAcentral is "partial 16S ribosomal RNA". It matches the Rfam family "Bacterial small subunit ribosomal RNA", at positions 28 to 506 of the family's 1533-position model. The record is from RNAcentral.
GACGAACGCUGGCGGCGUGCUUAACACAUGCAAGUCGAACGGCAAGGCCCUGCUUUUUUGGUCUGCUCGAGUGGCGAACGGGUGAGUAACACGUGAGUAACCUGCCCUUCACUUUGGUAUAACUUCACGAAACUGUGGCUACUACCGGAUCGGAGCUCCUGCUGCAUUGUGGGGGUUGGAUCUUCUAGGCGGGUGGGGUUGGAACCGCGGCUUAGCAGCUCGUUGGUGGGGUAGUGGAUUACCAAGGCUUUGACGGGUAGCCGGCCUGUGAGUGUGACAGGCCACAGUGGGACAGAGAUAGGGGCCAGGGUGAUACGGGGGGCAGCAGUGGAGGACAGUGCACAAUGGGCGGAAGAGUGAUGCAGGAACGCCGCGUGCGGGAUGACGGCUGUAGGGUUGGAAAACGAUUUGGCUUGUGACGAAGCGUGAGUGAGGGUAAUAGGUAAAGAAGCACCGGCUAACUACGU